Molecule: ribosomal RNA, 301 nt
Filed under: uncultured bacterium
Lineage: Bacteria
Description: partial 16S ribosomal RNA
Rfam family: Bacterial small subunit ribosomal RNA
Source: RNAcentral
CAGUAGCCACGGUAACACGUAGGGUGCGAGCGUUAAUCGGAAUUACUGGGCGUAAAGCGAGCGCAGACGGUUACUUAAGCAGGAUGUGAAAUCCCCGGGCUCAACCUGGGAACUGCGUUCUGAACUGGGUGACUAGAGUGUGUCAGAGGGAGGUAGAAUUCCACGUGUAGCAGUGAAAUGCGUAGAGAUGUGGAGGAAUACCGAUGGCGAAGGCAGCCUCCUGGGAUAACACUGACGUUCAUGCUCGAAAGCGUGGGUAGCAAACAGGAUUAGAUACCCGAGUAGUCCCUGUCUCUUAUAC